UGGUAGGUUAUAGUUUAUGGGGUUUUAAAGAGUUAGAUACGAUUGAGUUAUUGAAUUGAAUUGAAUAUAUAAUUGUUUUUUUAGGUGUUUUGGUUAUUUGAGUUUUUAUUUUGUGUUAAAUUAAGUGAUGAUAGUGUAUUGAAGAGUUGGGUUAUUUUUAAAUAAAUUAAAGUUUUGAAAUAUUUAUGUUUUGAAAGGAUUUUUUUUUUAUAUAGAAAUAAAAGAGAUUUUUGAUUAUUUAAUAAGAGUGUUUGGUAUUAUUUUGAUAUGUGAAAUGUAAGAAAGUAAUUUUUUUUGUUUUGUUUGGUUUUG
This 312-nucleotide unclassified non-coding RNA is filed under the name Hevea brasiliensis (rubber tree). Lineage: Eukaryota; Viridiplantae; Streptophyta; Magnoliopsida; Malpighiales; Euphorbiaceae. The record is from RNAcentral.